This is a long non-coding RNA of Rana temporaria (common frog), 1033 nucleotides long. RefSeq lists it as uncharacterized. The record is from RefSeq and is a predicted model, not a curated record. The transcript is spliced from 3 exons. Lineage: Eukaryota; Metazoa; Chordata; Amphibia; Anura; Ranidae.
UAGAUUUGAUAGGACUGGCACCUCCUUUUGGUAAAACCUGUUGUGCAAUAGCGUAUACUGAGAAGAGAAUAACAACAAAAGUUUGUUGCCAGCUGAUAGGGCGUUGUUAUAGGUCACACAAAUGAAUGUGGCAUUGCCAUCAUGGCAGCUUAGGAAUGCUGGUAGAAAAUUCCCAGCUGACUGUAAUCUGUUUGUCACUUUGUUUUAUGGAGCAUCCAUCGCUCUGCACCUGCUGAUAAGCCACAGCUCCUCCCUUUCAGUUUACUAAUGACUCAAUGGAGCUGAUUUUACCAUUUACCUGUGGGUGGAAGACUUGCAGGCAGGUGUGGUCUAAGGCUCGGUGACAUGCCUGUAUGGAUAUAUACAAUGAGGUCAUCUGUAAGAUCACUGAGCUGGAGUCAGCCUCCAGUGUCUGCCAGUACAAGAACAGCAGGCGAGAUCAGAUCAGGACGAAAUACAUACGCAUUGUCACUGUGCAACCUGAAAAGGACAAGAAUGAUGCUGAAUCUGACUGCUUGUUAAUGUAAAGUAUAAAACUGUAGCAUGCAAGGGGUGACUCUCCGGAAAAGAGAACAACGCGGCGGGAAGAGAUCCAACACUUGUUUGCUGUCUGUGAGUGUUUCUUUGGCAGUGUCUUAGCUGGUUGUUGUGACAUUGAAGUAGCAAUCAGCAAAUAUACCGCCCUAGAAGUUCGACACAUUUAUAAGCUGAGAAAAUGAUGCUGCUGCCAGGAUCGGGCUUCCAUUGUGAAUAUUAGGAGGACAGAAAGCCUACAGGUAAUUAUUUGUGGUUAUGCUUAUUAAGUGGAUAUAAAUUUGGAGGGCGGUGUCAGGCAUACACAUUAAGUUACCUCUUAUCCUGUUAAAAAAAUAACAGCAUGGAAAGUUUUCCACCCCCUGGGAAUCCUGUGCUGUUGCAGAGGAGUUCUAGAGGGCAAGAGGACCCAUAUUAAUGUAAUGCUGAACCCUCUGCCCAUCAAAUGCAGCCACUGUGCCAUCAAUUGUCACCACUGUGCCAUGCCAUCAAACGCAAC